UGGGGAAUAUUGGACAAUGGGCGAAAGCCUGAUCCAGCCAUGCCGCGUGUGUGAAGAAGGUCUUCGGAUUGUAAAGCACUUUAAGUUGGGAGGAAGGGCAGUAAGCGAAUACCUUGCUGUUUUGACGUUACCGACAGAAUAAGCACCGGCUAACUCUGUGCCAGCAGCCGCGGUAAUACAGAGGGUGCAAGCGUUAAUCGGAAUUACUGGGCGUAAAGCGCGCGUAGGUGGUUCGUUAAGUUGAAUGUGAAAGCCCCGGGCUCAACCUGGGAACUGCAUCCAAAACUGGCGAGCUAGAGUAGGGCAGAGGGUGGUGGAAUUUCCUGUGUAGCGGUGAAAUGCGUAGAUAUAGGAAGGAACACCAGGGGCGAAGGAGACCACCUGGGCUCAUACUGACACUGAGGUGCGAAAGCGUGGGGAGCAAACAGG
RNAcentral lists this ribosomal RNA (429 nucleotides) under Pseudomonadota bacterium. RNAcentral's name for it is "Proteobacteria bacterium partial 16S ribosomal RNA". It matches the Rfam family "Bacterial small subunit ribosomal RNA", at positions 355 to 776 of the family's 1533-position model. The record is from RNAcentral. Lineage: Bacteria; Pseudomonadati; Pseudomonadota.